UUCGAUUCUGGCUCAGAUUGAACGCUGGCAGGAUGCUUUGCACAUGCAAGUCGAACGGCAGCACGGACUUCCGGUCUGGUGGCGAGUGGCGAACAGGUGAGUAAUGUAUCGGAACGUGCCUAUUGGCGGGGGAUAACUACGCAGCCAGCCAGCUAAUACCGCAUACGCCCUUCGAGGAAAGCAGGAAAGGACCUUCGGGCCUCGCACUAAUGGGAAACGGCCGAUAUCGGAUUGGCUAGUUGGUGGGAUAACGGCUCACCAAGGCGACGAUCCGUAGCUGGUUUGAAGGACGACCAGCCACCUGGGACUGAGACCUGGCCCAGACUCCUACGGGAGGCAGCAGUAGGGGAAUUUUGGACAAUGGGGAAACCUGAUCCAGCCAUCCGCGUGUGCGAUGAAGGCCUUCGGGUUGUAAGCACUUUUGGCAGGAAAGAAACGGCACGGGAUAAUACCCGUGCAACUGACGGUACCUGCAGAAUAAGCACCGGCUAACUACGUGCCAGCAUGCACGGUAACUACGUAAGGGUGCAAGCGUUAAUCAGAUGCUGGGCAACAAAGCGUGCGCAGGCGGUUCGGAAAGAAAGUGUGAAAUCCAGUGACUUAACUUUGGAACUGCAUUUUUAACUGCCGAGCUGGAAGUGUCAGAGGUGGAAUUCCGCGUGUAGCAGUGAAAUGCGUAGAUAUACGGAGGAACACCGAUGGCGAAAGGCAACUCCUGGGAUAACUUUGCUCUUUUUUAACUUGAAAGCGUGAGGCAAACAGGACCGUUUCCCUGGUAGUCCACGCCUAAAGCAGUGUCAACUGGCUGUUGGGGCCUUCGGGCCUUGGUGGCGCAGCUAACGCGCGUGAAGUUGACCGCCUGGGAAAUGCAGUCACUAAAGGUCAAAACUCAAGGAAUUGACGGGGACCCGCACAAGCGGUGGAUGAUGUGGAUUAAUUCGAUGCAACGCGAAAAACCUUACCCCUACCCUUGACAUGUCUGGAAUCCCGAAGAGAUUUGGGAGUGCUCGCAAGAGAACCGGAACACAGGUGCUGCAUGGCUGUCGUCAACUCGUGUCGUGAGAUGUUGGGUUAAGUCCGCAACGAGCGCAACCCUUGUCAUUAGUUGCUACGAGGAGCACUCUAAUGAGACUGCCGGUGACAAACCGGAAGGUGAGAUGACGUCAAGUCCUCAUGGCCCUUAUGGUGGGCUUCACACGUCAUACAAUGGUCAGGACAGAGGGUCGCCAACCCGCGAGGGUUCAAUCCCAGAAACCCGAUCGUAGUCCGGAUCGCAGUCUGCAACUCGACUGCGUGAAGUCGGAAUCUUUAACAAUCGCGGAUCAGCAUGUCGCGGUGAAUACGUUCCCGGGUCUUGUACACACCGCCCGUCACACCAUGGGAGUGGGUUUGCAAAGUAGUUAGCCUAACCGUAAGGAGGGCGAUUACCACGGUAGGAUUCAUGACUGGGGUGAAGUCGUAACAAGAGUAGCUCUGUUGC
Molecule: ribosomal RNA, 1480 nt
Filed under: uncultured Bordetella sp.
Lineage: Bacteria; Pseudomonadati; Pseudomonadota; Betaproteobacteria; Burkholderiales; Alcaligenaceae
Description: partial 16S-23S ribosomal RNA intergenic spacer
Rfam family: Bacterial small subunit ribosomal RNA
Source: RNAcentral